UAGUUGGAGGUAUGCGUGGU
This 20-nucleotide unclassified non-coding RNA is filed under the name Chlamydomonas reinhardtii. RNAcentral's name for it is "small RNA Cre_2359". The record is from RNAcentral. Lineage: Eukaryota; Viridiplantae; Chlorophyta; Chlorophyceae; Chlamydomonadales; Chlamydomonadaceae.